GACGGGUACCCCUCCUGCUCCCCACGGCCUCUCCUCCAUGUUUGCUCAAGCCUGGCAGUGAUCCCCAGGAGUGUAACCUGCUCCAUUGCAUUCAUCCACCAAAGCUACCCAUAAACCCCAAAGCCAAGGAAGGCAUCUCAGUCACUUUGGAGGUGGGCCACACAGAUGAUGUAGUCUGUCCUGCCACAGUCUUUGAAGUCAGACUCAACUGGGAGAAAUCUUCCGCAGUGAGCUUAAGAAUGGCACUCAGCUGACCCCAUGAAGGAGAAAAAUACCAUUGCAUAAAUCCCAUGUUCUCUGAGAGACAAAGGGACGUUUGAGACAUUGCUCCUGUCUUGCAAAGCUGAGGAAUUUGCCAGAGAGGCAGUCUUAAAUCACUUAGGUUUGUCUGAGAUUUCAGCUCUUCACAGAACACCCACAUCAUGGCAUAUGACAGAAGUUGACGUGGUUGUCCCUGCUGCGGUGACACUGGAUUCCCAAACGGACUUGCAGAGAGUGUCCGCUGUGCCACCUCUAAAGGACACUGCUGGGGUUGAGCUGAUGAGGAGAGCCUGAAGCUGAAGUCAGCGUGGGGGCAGAGCACCCACCCUGAUGAAGCACGUGUGAAGUCAGCCGUGGGACGAGCGUCAUGCUUCCUUGUUGCUGUGCGAGUUUCAGAAUCCCCACCUUGGAAAUCAGCAGGGAGAAUGAACAUAAAUGCAUGAGACAUUCUCACCAAACACUGACAUGUGGAUGGCCCCAGAGAAAGCCCCAGGUACUUGGUGAGGUCAGAGGCUCACAGCCCUCUAGCCCCCCAAGCAGUUGUCACCUGUCCGGCUGUGGCAGCCAGCACCCCUGGGUCCGGGGAAGUGCGAGCCAUUGCUCUACCAGUAAAGGACUCGUGAGGUUCAUGGUGGCACAAAGCCAGCCAGUACGACACAAUUGCCAGAGCAGUCUGGUGUAGACCGGGUCACCGGCAUGGGGGUCAACGGGGCUGCAUCCUGGAGGAGGUGGGGCUGUCUAGUGGAAUUGGAGAUGGAGCCUUCAUCCAAUUGAAGACUACUCAUCUUGCCGCUGUUGCUUUAAAAGUGCACAGAUGUCCUUCUGCUCUCUCCUCUUCCUUGUUACUGAUGAGAACCUGGCUUGUUCCACAAGACACUUAGGACCUGAGCAUCUCUGAUUUGUGGUAGUUAAGUAUUCCAUAACUACUACUACUACUACUACUACUAAUGAUGAUGAUGGUGACAUGUGAAUUCGUGUGGUGCUUGAUCACUCCCAAAGUGCUGAUAUUUGGAAACUCAGCUUUGCAUCAUGGCAACCCCGUGGGAAUUCUUGUCUUUAAUACCCCCACACCCCCUGAUUCUCACCUGCAUGUCAGGUGCUCCUGAGUCUUGAGCCCAUAGUUGCCAGAGGCCAGGUCUCUGCCUCUGACCUCAGCAUGGACCUCCCAGGCCCCUUCCUUUCAUACACUUCACCCAACCUUCUCAGUCCUGGGCUUUCCCGGGGGACCCUUUCUGUCCCUCUCCCACCGGAUGAGGCCCUCCUCGCUUAACCAACCUCACACCCAGCAUAUUCCCUCACAAAGCUUGUGUAGUGCGUGCUUGCUCAUCUGUGGGACUGUGCGUGGUCACUGCGCGUGGUCUGGUAGAAGGUUGGUUUGGAGCCGAGUUCCAUAGGCAGGCUGGUGUGUGCAGACACAACUUCCGGCUCUGUCCAGGCCCCCCAGUUGGAGCAGGUGUGGCUUCAGCCCCCUGGCCUCACGCCACGUGGUGAUGCUGUCGUGAUAACAUGGAUGGGCCACUUUAAGCCCAUGGAAGAGGGCCUGGGACGCUCGCAGCAAGCAGUGUUGUCAUUACGUGAGGGCUACACGCGGUCCCUGCUGAGGGUGGCUUCAUGCUCCCAGGGACUUUGGCUCCUGUUCUCCAUUGCGUCCCCAGUGCCCACCAUAGCACGGGCACAUGACAGGCUCUUGAUAAACAUCUCUUGAAUAAAAGGAUGAAAUGGAUGAGUUCAAGGGGGAAAAAAAGAUUGGUUCCUAAAGCCCAGACAAACAUGGUUACCAUUUAGACCUGCUUUAGGGGAGGUAAGAAAAGAAGUGCUCUGCUUUUGGGCCGGUAUGAUGGGAACCACUUGUCAUAGCUGCGACACGACACCAGGCAUGCUGCUGGCUGGUCCUUUAUUCUGAAGACAAAUGAUGGGUCUCUUCAUGUAGCUGGGGGGCAUGUGGGCUGCGGACUCUGGGGGAGGAGAGUUGUUCUUCCCUGCUUUAUACUGAUCUACAAGAUAUGUCCUCCCAGAGACCAAAACCUUUCUGAGGGUAGACCUUAUCUUAUUCACUGUUGCAUUCCCUCGUGCUUGGCCUAAAGCAUUAUACCUGAAAAUAUGUUGACUUGAUUUUUGGUUUCUUAGUGGAUAAAAGGGUAGGGAAAGAAGUCGAUAACAUGAGAGUGGAAGCUGACAUUUAAAAAAUUCUUUCGGCUUUGCCAUAUAAAAGCCCCACAACAAAAAGAGUAUACAAUAUAUUCUUAUAUGGUCAAGGACGCUGGCUAACUCCGUCCCUCUUCCAGUGCCCGAUAAUCUCCUUUUUCCUCAUGGGGUUUCCUGAGCUUCAGUCCAUUUCUUGGUAAACAUUAAGUGAAUUUUGGUCUAUUGUUUUGCUUUUAAAUGAGAAUGAAUUUCAAGUAGAAAUUCAUGUAAUGUCAUGUAGAUGAAAUUAGCCUGAUUGUAAUAUUCCAAUACUUUUAUGGUUUAAAGGAAAUACAGUUUUGUUAUCUGGGAUGGUUUUCUAAUGAUGAAAAGAGAAAAUGAGAGCUUUAAUUAUCAAAGAAAGAACCAUGCAGAGAAUGGUCUAUGUAGACAUCUUAAGUAGAAGAAAAAACCCAACAACCCCCCAAGUAUUGCUGUUUCUUAAUUAUGCAGUCUCAAGAUAAGUGUUAGAAUAAUUCUUUUAUUAGAGACUCAGCGUCUGUGAGAAAUUCAUAUUUUUGUUAUUUACUUGUAAAGCUUUUAAACAUCUCUUACUUAAAAGGAAUGAUAAUAAGCCCGAGGAGAGCAGCUCACCAAUCAGUCUCUAAACUGAUACAAAUAGGAGCUGUAAUCAGGUUAACCGGCAGUACUUGCUUCCUCAUCUAGAAAUUUCUUAUCGGCUUUGGGACUGCUCUGCGUGAGCAAAGCUGACAAGGUUCCUGCUCUUGUGGAGUUCAUGGUCUCAAGAAGUAACCAGAAAAUGAAAAGCAAAUAGUCACACACAUAUACAUAUAACUACCUCUCUUUUCUUCUCUCUUUUUUUUAAACUACUUUUCAUAGUAAGUGUUUCAAGGGAGGA
Long non-coding RNA from Mustela lutreola (European mink), 3304 nucleotides. RefSeq lists it as uncharacterized. The record is from RefSeq and is a predicted model, not a curated record. Lineage: Eukaryota; Metazoa; Chordata; Mammalia; Carnivora; Mustelidae. The transcript is spliced from 3 exons.